RNAcentral lists this long non-coding RNA (1022 nucleotides) under Salvia miltiorrhiza (redroot sage). RNAcentral's name for it is "long non-coding RNA (SMIL_LNC008403)". The record is from RNAcentral. Lineage: Eukaryota; Viridiplantae; Streptophyta; Magnoliopsida; Lamiales; Lamiaceae.
UAUGAGAAAUAAAUAUGUUGGAUAUUAUAAGAAAGGUUAAUUAUAUAAGGUAUUGAUAGGAUUUUAACUCGUCAUUUGUUUCGUCACCAACUCAAAUUUAACCGAAUAAUAGGCCAUCCCCAAAAAAUAUCUAUUUGUUAUCCCUUUUUGUCCCGGUGUUUCUACUGUAAAAUAUAUAUAACGUAUUUAUGGGAAUGGAAAAUAACAUAUCUCAAACUAUUAAAAUCAAACCUAAUAAUAAAAAAAAGUAUAUCCACAAGGUGUAUUUAGCACAUCUCAUUUCAUCAUAAAAUAUUAAAACUCAAUAAAAUCGUUCAAACCAAACUGGAGAACACUAGGAAAAUUCACUAAUCCAAACAACCACACCCUUUGAAUUUGUAAACACUCGACUGAUUCUUCACUUACUGAUUCAUAUAUAACAUCCAACAACUCUCAAGCAAUGCAAACACACUUGCACUCACAUUUUACUAUACGUAAUGCAUAUAGUACUUAAACACGCUCAGAUUAAGUAGUAAAAUACACCACCUUAUCUGUUUAUUAUAAAAGCAUGAGUUCAAUGUCCCAAUCCAUUGUGAUCACUACUCACUUUCACUUGAGAGCUCGACUCUUUGGCAUCACCAAUGCAAUGGGGACAAGGAUUUGGUCCUCCCGGAAUAUAUCGAUCUGCUAAAUUAUUUAAUAAUUUGCGAUUCUUAGUUAUGACUCCUGCAUUUAUUUCAUUACUUAAUCCAACAACCAAAACAGCAGCCGCAAACAAAAUAACGCAAAAUUUCUUCAUCAUCACCAUGCUCGCCAAUGAUCACCUGAAAACGAAUACUUCAUUAAAUUAUCACAAAUAUUAUGAAAAAUAAAAAAAAUAUGAAAUUCAAAAGGACUGUAUAUGAGCUCUACCAACCUCAGAUUUCUUUGUGUUGCAUGUUGCUUCCUAGGUGGGCAGUAUAUAUAGGGAAAAAAGAUGUUAAAUUAUUACUCAACUUAAAUUAUUAAGAAAUAGACUCGUAUGGACUAUAAGAACUUAAAAG